This 376-nucleotide ribosomal RNA is filed under the name uncultured bacterium. Its description in RNAcentral is "bacterial SSU rRNA". It matches the Rfam family "Bacterial small subunit ribosomal RNA", at positions 521 to 896 of the family's 1533-position model. The record is from RNAcentral.
UAAUACGUAGGGGGCGAGCGUUGUUCGGAAUUACUGGGCGUAAAGCGUGCGUAGGCGGUUGUGUAAGUCGCAGGUGAAAGCCCUGCUUCCAAGGUAGGAAUUGCCUGCGAUACUGCACAGCUAGAGGGCAAGAAGGGGAAGCGGAACUCUGGGAGUAGCGGUGAAAUGCGUAGAUACCCAGGGGAACGCCAGUAGCGAAGGCGGCUUCCUGGCUUGCUCCUGACGCUGAGGCACGAAAGCUAGGGGAGCGAUCGGGAUUAGAGACCCCGGUAGUCGUAGCCGUAAACGAUGGGUACUAGGUGUGGGGGGAGCAUUACCCUCCGUGCCGAAGCUAACGCGUUAAGUACCCCGCCUGGGGAGUACGGUCGCAAGGCUG